RNAcentral lists this non-coding RNA (112 nucleotides) under Pectobacterium aroidearum. RNAcentral describes it as "antisense sRNA RprA". It matches the Rfam family "RprA RNA". Rfam says of the family: Translational regulation of the stationary phase sigma factor RpoS is mediated by the formation of a double-stranded RNA stem-loop structure in the upstream region of the rpoS messenger RNA, occluding the translation initiation site. Clones carrying rprA (RpoS regulator RNA A) increased the translation of RpoS. Lineage: Bacteria; Pseudomonadati; Pseudomonadota; Gammaproteobacteria; Enterobacterales; Pectobacteriaceae. The record is from RNAcentral.
CCGGAGCUAGUAUUAACCUACUGUAUGUCAAUGAGGUUUCCUCCUCGUCAGAGUUAGUAACGAAUUGCUGUGUGUAGUCUUUGCCCAUCCCCUGAGAUGGGCCUUUUUUUUU